This 253-nucleotide ribosomal RNA is filed under the name uncultured bacterium. RNAcentral describes it as "partial 16S ribosomal RNA". It matches the Rfam family "Bacterial small subunit ribosomal RNA", at positions 524 to 776 of the family's 1533-position model. The record is from RNAcentral.
UACGUAGGGGGCAAGCGUUGUCCGGAUUUAUUGGGCGUAAAGAGCGUGUAGGCGGUUAGGUAGGUCCGUUGUGAAAACUCGAGGCUCAACCUCGAGACGCCGAUGGAAACCAUCUGACUAGAGUCCGGAAGAGGAGAGUGGAAUUCCUGGUGUAGCGGUGAAACGCGCAGAUAUCAGGAAGAACACCCGUGGCUAAGGCGGCUCUCUAGUACGUGACUGACGCUGAGACGCGAAAGCGUGGGGAGCGAACAGG